RNAcentral lists this transfer RNA (65 nucleotides) under Tetraclita rufotincta. RNAcentral's name for it is "tRNA-Glu". Lineage: Eukaryota; Metazoa; Arthropoda; Thecostraca; Balanomorpha; Tetraclitidae. The record is from RNAcentral.
AUCCCGGUAGUGUAUCUAACACACUUCAUUUUCGUUGAAGAGAAGAAAUACUUUUUCUCGAGAUA